UACGGCGGGUGCCAGCGUUGUUCGGAAUCAUUGGGCGUAAAGCGCGUGUAGGCGGCCGGGUAAGUCUGAUGUGAAAGCCCGGGGCUCAACCCCGGAAGUGCAUUGGAUACUGCCUGGCUAGAGGGCGAGAGAGGAAAGUGGAAUUCCUGGUGUAGGGGUGAAAUCCGUAGAUAUCAGGAGGAACAUCAGUGGCGAAGGCGACUUUCGGGCUCGUUACUGACUUUGAGACGCGAAAGCGUGGGGAGCAAACAGG
Molecule: ribosomal RNA, 253 nt
Filed under: uncultured bacterium
Lineage: Bacteria
Description: partial 16S ribosomal RNA
Rfam family: Bacterial small subunit ribosomal RNA
Source: RNAcentral